ACUCAAAUGAAUUGACGGGGGCCCGCACAAGCGGUGGAGCAUGUGGUUUAAUUCGACGCAACGCGAAGAACCUUACCUGGGCUCGAACGGCUUUCUAACGCUGGUGGAAACACCGGUAUCCCGCAAGGGAGUAGAGUCGAGGUGCUGCAUGGCUGUCGUCAGCUCGUGUCGUGAGAUGUUGGGUUAAGUCCCGCAACGAGCGCAACCCUUGUCCUGUGUUGCCAGUCCGCAAGGAGGCACUCUCAGGAGACCGCCAGCGAUAAGCUGGAGGAAGGUGGGGAUGACGUCAAGUCAUCAUGGCCUUUAUGUCCAGGGCUACACACGUGCUACAAUGGGCGGUACAAAACGCCGCGAACCCGUGAGGGGGAGCAAAUCGUAAAAAACCGCUCUCAGUUCGGAUUGCAGGCUGCAACCCGCCUGCAUGAAGCUGGAAUCGCUAGUAAUGGUACAUCAGAACGGUACCGUGAAUACGUUCCCGGGCCUUGUACACACCGCCCGU
Molecule: ribosomal RNA, 499 nt
Filed under: uncultured bacterium
Lineage: Bacteria
Description: partial 16S ribosomal RNA
Rfam family: Bacterial small subunit ribosomal RNA
Source: RNAcentral